CGGUGGGGAGGGAGAAGCUAUCGUCGGACCAACAAAUGCUCUCACGGCGGAACGCGGCGGAAGCGAGGCGUUUGCCUGUUUGGAGGAGAACCAUGGCGUCCUCCAUUAAGCCUAGGUGGCAACAUGCUUGGCCUAGAACCAAGUACCUGUACCACAAUUUUCAGUUCAAUCGAGUUAAAACACAUGUUAACUAUUAUUAAUUCAAGCCUCCAAUUACCCUAAAAUUAUUACUAUUAAACUUGGGUUGUGAAAAUUGACCUCCAUUUGCCUUCUUUGUCGCAGCUUUUACACAACCCCGCCAUGACUUUCUUCUUCAAGUCCGAAACAGAAAAGCACUUGAAAGAUGGGUCACGACUCGAUGAGUCAGAGGACGAGUCAUUAGAAGGUAAAAGCUUGACUCGCUCCCUG
RNAcentral lists this long non-coding RNA (408 nucleotides) under Gossypium barbadense (sea-island cotton). Its description in RNAcentral is "long non-coding RNA (GBAR_LNC006225)". The record is from RNAcentral. Lineage: Eukaryota; Viridiplantae; Streptophyta; Magnoliopsida; Malvales; Malvaceae.